RNAcentral lists this small RNA (148 nucleotides) under Papio anubis (olive baboon). RNAcentral describes it as "Metazoan signal recognition particle RNA (ENSPANG00000048783.1)". The record is from Rfam by way of RNAcentral. Lineage: Eukaryota; Metazoa; Chordata; Mammalia; Primates; Cercopithecidae.
GCCGGGCGUGGUGGUGCGUGCCUGUAAUCCCAGCUACUCAGGAGGCUGAGGCAGGAGAAUCCCUUGAACCCGGGAGGCGGGGGUUGCAGUGAGCCAAGAUCACACCACUGCACUCCAGCCUGGGCAACAGAGCGAGACUCUGCCUCAA